GCUUCCUUGGCUCAGUUGGCUAGAGCGCAGGUCUCAUACAUAAAAGUAUGCAACUCUUUGGGAGUCCUGAUCCUGAGGUCGCAAGUUCGAGCCUUGCAGGGAGCA
RNAcentral lists this transfer RNA (105 nucleotides) under Marasmius sp. AFHP31. RNAcentral's name for it is "tRNA-Met". It matches the Rfam family "tRNA". From Rfam's summary of the family: Transfer RNA (tRNA) molecules are approximately 80 nucleotides in length. Their secondary structure includes four short double-helical elements and three loops (D, anti-codon, and T loops). The record is from RNAcentral. Lineage: Eukaryota; Fungi; Basidiomycota; Agaricomycetes; Agaricales; Marasmiaceae.